GCAGUUGCUUCAGAACAACCAUUUUUUCCUAUGACAAAUUUUGAAUUUUGAGGAAAGCUGUAUUUCCCAGAAAAUUUUUGAUCAUCUCCAGGUGAGAUGAUUAAGAGCUGCAGGAUAAUACAACUUUGCAAGGGAUUGUUACUGAGUGGUGCGAUCAGCUCUCAUUCUGUCACUUCCUACUGCUUCCUGCUGGUUUUAAAUGUUUAUAAUUUGCUUUUAAUUUAAGUGUGUGUAUGUGUAAAAUAUUAUAUGACCAUGCAAGAUUUAUCUUCUACCUAAUUUAUUGCUGUUCUAUUUCUUCCAUUAAAGCAUAGAUUUUUACAUCCAUUCAUUGAUUUUACAUUCCAUAGAAUCACAGAAUAUCCUGAACUGGAAGGGAACCAGAAGGAUCACUGUGUCCAACUCGUGGCUCCAUACAGCACCAGCCCAAAUCCAAACCCUAUGUCUGAGACCAUUAUCCAAUCGCCCCUUGAACUCCAUCAGCGUGAGACCAUGCCCACUGCCUGCUUUGUCUUUUUUUUUUUGGCAUGUAUUUAAUUGCUUAAUUUUUAAUUGCUUAUAUAUUAUUUAUUUUAGCAUUGACAACUAUCUGUAGGGAACUGGUAAAGUCUCAAAAGUUUUCAGGUGGAUGGAAGAACCAUUAACAACCCAGACUGCUCUACAGUGAGCUAGAUUUGCACAAGCAAGGGGGCAAAAAAAAAAAAAAAAAAAAAAGAAUAUUUAAAGUUCUGUUUUCUGUGUUACAGAGAAGUUCCAGAAUCACUCUCCUUUGUAAUGUAAAGACAGUAGCAUGAUCACCAGGCAUGUGGUCCUGACCUCAGACUGAGGAUCCUUGGCCUAGAGUCAAGCAGUCCCUGCAGUCACUGAAACAGCCAAAUUAACUGUCUGUUUAGCCAUGGAUUAAAAUUCAUCCACUGAUCCAAGACACAAAGGAAUUGAGAAGACGACAUGAUCAGCAGUUAGGAAAAGCAUCUGUGGAGAUGAUGGUUGUUAUUACUGUUGAGUGAACGUUAUACUUAUGGAACAGAUGCUCACGUGAUAUCCUAAAACAAGAGUGGUUUGGAAGAAGAGCUGACUACAGCACGUGAGAAAGUACACAUCAGCCAGACACAAAGAUGAAGUCUGCUUCCAACUUGAAGCUCAUAGCCUCUAAAUCCAGCUGAAAGCUCUUCUCCUUAAGACAGUUUUGACUAGGUGCUUCCAGGGAAAAGAGAGAAAACCAAAUGACCCAAACGAAGGUUUCUCUGCAGAGAACUAUGCAGAAGAUGUGCUCAGCUAUAUUGAUCUCUGAGGAAAUGUGGAUGAGGUAGAUAAUGUGAAACCUUUUUGUCAUUACUAACAGUUAUAUAGGUUGCGGAAACUUUCAGUGUUUGGCUGACUAGAUAAGUUGAUGCAUUCACAUUUAUUUGAUUGGAAAAGUAUGGGGAGUAAACUUUGUCUCCCUAUUUUC
Molecule: non-coding RNA, 1450 nt
Organism: Meleagris gallopavo (turkey)
Lineage: Eukaryota; Metazoa; Chordata; Aves; Galliformes; Phasianidae
Source: RefSeq, a predicted model, not a curated record